UCCAACUUCUAUUUUGCGACAAGAUUUAUAGAAUGCUUGUCGCAUGCUCUUGGCUAUGCCGCCAACAAUAAGCAACGACUUGAAAUAUUUUAAUAAUCAAGGGGGAGGUAAUAACGGCUCAUGGUAUGAAAGAAAAUAAAAUAAAUUGCUUUAGAAAUAAAAAGAACGAAGGACGGAUUUGAGGGGACAUGCCUUGGGAGUUCUUACGCAGUAAGGACUUUAACAGCAACAAUCAUUUUUUUGCGGUUAAGAAAACGAAUUAAGGAUGUCAUUAUCAAAAUAAAAAUCAUAAAAAAGCAAGAAGACUCGAAUAAUGAAAGAUGUCAAUUUUGAUCACACAUGACUUCUUGAUAAAACAAAAAAUUAAAGAACAAGGGUAAUGUGUGAAGCAAAGGUACGCCUUUAUCGCUCUUUCAACAAGUGUUUUCAACGGAUAAAUGCCUGUCAGCAGGGACCAUGGGCGGACUACUUGGCAUCACCAAAUCUGUCAUCAGAGGAAUAUCGCGUCUUUCUUCAUUAUCGAGUUGAGAAUUCAACCCCAAUUCUAAAGAAAAAUCAUAUCUUUCUGGUAAUUGAGGUGAAUUCUCAAUGUUAUUGGAUUUUGCAACCGAAGACAAUGCCUUUGAUAAAUCAAACUUUGGCUUAUGCCUUGGUGUCAAUACGUUUUGGUCAGGGUCAGACAAAAAUAACUCUGACCUCCAGGGUGAUGGACUUUGUUGUUGCUUUUGUAAGGUAGUUGGUUUUGGAGGGGUUCUGAAAUAGCACUCUAAAUCAUCAUUUUCUUUUUCUGAAUCGCAAACAGGCAGAGUUGGCUCUGUCUCUUCUUUAUUUACUUUAGGCAUAGGCUUUGUUGUGGUUUUCAAAGGAAAAGCGACGUUUUCCUUGUCAGUACACAUGAAAUCAGUUUUUCUUAAAACAUCAUUUUGUAUAUUGGCACUUAGUGAAUUUGGUAAUACCAGCCAACUAUCAUUAGACCCAAUUUCGGAUAAAGGCUCACGAAAUGAUGUAUCAGGAGUAGGUGCAACAAUGGGAGAUGAUUGUAUGCGUCUGAGGUCAUUUUUCAGCUUAGCAGUACGGGGACCUCCUCUGGAUUUCUGCUGAUUAACAACAGAGGGUUUUGAGAUAUGAUUGGGAUCAGGUGCAGAGUGUGUUGAGUCUAAAGACGUAAGUCUAUUCAGAGGAGAGUGCCGUCCUGCAUUUUCAAGCUCACGGAAGAUGGAUAUAGAUAGUUUUCGUUGCUGGGAAAGUUUAUAUACGGCUAACUCAAGCUGAGCAAAUGCAUCAUUUUCCAACGGUUUCUCUGUUUCAAAUGCUUUAUAGGUAGACCAUAAAUUUCUUGGACGCAUCGAGCGCCGACUCGUCCAAUAUAUACCACAUGCAUUACAAAGCAUCAAAGUUAUGUUCAUGUACGUAGCAUUGCGCCAAUUGGCAGUUUUGAUGGUUCCACAGUUUUGACAAUAUGGUGGAAUUUUCCCUUCUUGCAAGCUCAAGGUAAGUUGUUCUUCAAUUCGAUUCUUCCCACGUACAUUGGUAAACUUUUUCUCAAUGCGCCCACGAGCUAUUCGAACUUGUUCUUUAAUAAAUUCAUGAACUUGUUCACGUUCAGAUGGAUUUUGUAGCUGAGCUGCAACAUAAGCCGACUCUGGCGAAAUGGUGCUACUUUCACGUCGGCGUUUUUUUGUGCUUACUGCAGAAUUUACAGUAGUAGACGACGCAGAACAUACAGGGUCAGUAGCAGGAUGGUCAAGCGCCGCUUGAUGAUCGAGUAUGUAUGGCUCAGAGAAAGAAGUUGCAGAGCAUGAAAUGUCAUUUGACGCAUGGAACAAAGAAUCUAACUCAAGCUCUUCAACAUUUGUUUCAGCUAAUGCGGAGGGACGUGAAGGAGAUUUUAAUUCGCGGACAGACUUUUGUUUGGAAAGACCGUUUAUGUUGACAGGACAUGUAUAGUUCGUAUCAAACAAAGAUCCAGAAAUAGAAUCGGAUUUUUCGGAAGAUGAUGGAUCAAAUAUAAGAGAUGGAGGUAAAGUGGAAGAUAAAAAUUUAGAAGACGUAUGUGUUUCUGGAGUUCCAACCUCGAAGGAGUUCUGCAAGGAUUGGAAUCUCAACUUGAUUUCUAUGGACCGUUGAAUACCGAACUCUACAAUAAACCCAUUCACCCAAACUGUGUCGGAAUUUGACGUGCCAGCAUUAAGAGUAGGAGAUAACAACAAAGAAGACCAAUAGCCUAGUCCGACGAAGAGUUCAUCUGGUUCCGUAUGGUCUAAAAAAUACACGCUAAAAUCACCUUGUGAUUUGCAACUCAAUUCAGGACUACAGCGGCAAACUGUUUGUAUAACAUGCUGAAUGUCUACCUGGCAAAUCACUUUUUUCGGUUCCACUUCCUUCAGCACCUGAAUGGGCACAGCAUGUUGAGACUUUGCUAAACAGCGAAUCGCGGAUGCGCGAUCAAUACAAUAAAUAACACGAACUAAACACAGACAAACAUUAGAAAAAAUGAAUAAAAUUAUGAAAGACAAAUGAAGAGCUAAAGAGCAAAGCCAUUUAGCUGGAAAAGCAAGACAUACGAGGUAAAGACGUUACCGUGUUCAGAGACUUUUCCAUCAUUGUUCGCGAAGGGGAGACAAUGGCUUGGGUCUCGUAGCUUCAAGAGUUCCUCCUCCUUCAACGAACGAACACUUUGACAAUCAAUUCGUAUUCUAUAGGGGAAUAUCGAUGAAGAAUGUGUUGUGUUGUUGGUGGGUUAAAUCUUUGGCUAGCAUGAAAUGAAUGUCGAGUCGCGCUUCCUAAUGAAAAUUCCGGGCAUCCAAAGAUACAGUAAAUUUUAAAUUUUAUAAUAAAAAUGUAUAUGAAUGUCUAUUUUUUAAAAAAAUAACGCGUGAAUUAUCGCGUUUUCGAAGAUAUUUGAACAACCCAGUUUUUGACUUGAUUUACUUAAGACUUUAGAUACGCUCGAAACGACACUAAUCCCCAUAUUGUUACUUGGUAAUGUGUGUUACCUAAUGUUUGGAAUUUUAUAACAAAUGGUAUUUCCAUUAUAAAAAGUAAAAUAAAGGCAUUGAAAGCAUAAAUUAUUUAUUUUUCAAUAUAUUAUAUAAUUGCUAAAUUCCUAUAUUUAUUAAUGAGUAGGCAAUAUCGUUUACUCUCAUGGAUGCUGAACUUUUCCAAGCUCACUAUGACCGCCGAAGCUAAAAGCGAUAAUGGUAACUUUUAAUUUCUGGC
Molecule: long non-coding RNA, 3219 nt
Filed under: Schizosaccharomyces pombe (fission yeast)
Lineage: Eukaryota; Fungi; Ascomycota; Schizosaccharomycetes; Schizosaccharomycetales; Schizosaccharomycetaceae
Source: RNAcentral